This is a long non-coding RNA of Tupaia belangeri chinensis (Chinese tree shrew), 777 nucleotides long. RefSeq lists it as uncharacterized. The transcript is spliced from 3 exons. The record is from RefSeq and is a predicted model, not a curated record. Lineage: Eukaryota; Metazoa; Chordata; Mammalia; Scandentia; Tupaiidae.
CAAUCAAAUGUCUUUCUUUUGCUUUCACAUUUAUUCUGUAAAUGCUUGCUUCUGAUUAUUUAGUCAUCAGAACAUUAGACCUCUUUCGACUUGGUGUUUCCCAAUUAAUGAAUGGCUUCGUAGUCAAACUUUUUAAAAUUUUGUUUCUCAAUUUACCUUUUAUAGGAGCAUAGAAGUUUGGGCAGGAAGUCAGCACGCACCUGACACAUUCAACCUUGGCUUCAGGAUGAGCUUGAUCCAUGGGAUUGUUUGUGGUGUGCUGCUCAUCGCCAUUUGCAUUUCCACCCUUUCUUGCCACAUACAAGUAAACUGUUCUAGACAAAAAGCGAACAUGUUUUUCCAAACUGCAGAUACAACAAAUCAAGCAUCAUUCCAGAACGAGGAAAUUAGAUGCAGAGUUAAUACAAAAAGCUGCAAGUCUUCAGACAAAAAAAAAAAGCUGAAGAUUCUAAAAUCCUUUUUUACUAAUAAAAGAAGUCUUCCUCCACCUGAGCAGCCAUAACCCGGGUUCUUCCUGUCCUCACAAACUAAGAGAAAUCUCUCUUCAAUUGCUUGCACCCUAGAUUUCAUUCUUCAAUUUAGUCUGUUGUGCUGUUUCUCUAUUAAAAAGAAGAUAAGAAUUUAAAAUCAAUUGUAGGGGGUGGGUAAGAGGGGAUCAGGGAAAAACAAACAACACAUUUAAUAUGCAAAAAUGCAAUGUUAUCUGCUGAUGCUAAUGUAAACAGUACUGUCUUUGAUUUGACUAAUAUGCACUAUACUCAUGCUGGGAAAAACCAU